UACAGAGGGGGCGAGCGUUGUUCGGAUUUACUGGGCGUAAAGGGCGCGUAGGCGGCCUUGUCAGUCAGGCGUGAAAGCCCCGGGCUCAACCUGGGAACGGCGCUUGGGACGGCGAGGCUGGAGUUCGGGAGAGGAGAGUGGAAUUCCCAGUGUAGAGGUGAAAUUCGUAGAUAUUGGGAAGAACACCGGUGGCGAAGGCGGCUCUCUGGACCGACACUGACGCUGAGGCGCGAAAGCGUGGGGAGCAAACAGG
RNAcentral lists this ribosomal RNA (253 nucleotides) under uncultured bacterium. Its description in RNAcentral is "partial 16S ribosomal RNA". It matches the Rfam family "Bacterial small subunit ribosomal RNA", at positions 524 to 776 of the family's 1533-position model. The record is from RNAcentral.